GCCUAGUUAGACUCAGUGGUAGAGCAUUCGGCUGUUAACCGAAAGGUCGCUGGUUCGAGCCCAGCACUAGGCG
Glomus cerebriforme is the source of this 73-nucleotide non-coding RNA. NCBI's taxonomy places the organism in Eukaryota, Fungi, Glomeromycota, Glomeromycetes, Glomerales, Glomeraceae. The record is from the annotation of a GenBank genome assembly.